Mesocricetus auratus (golden hamster) is the source of this 487-nucleotide long non-coding RNA. RefSeq lists it as uncharacterized. The record is from RefSeq and is a predicted model, not a curated record. The transcript is spliced from 2 exons. Lineage: Eukaryota; Metazoa; Chordata; Mammalia; Rodentia; Cricetidae.
UUUAAAGAUGUAGUAAAUUGAAAUGAGAAGCCAUGACUGUGGACUGAGUUCCUUGUGGGACCCAAACAAGAUCAGACCAAACCAAAUAGAUUAAUCUGUCUAACAGACUGAAAAGUUAAGGAAGCAGUUAGAGCCCAAACACAGCCAAGAGAGUCUACAAACAAGAAAUUCCAGUCACCACAGGGAGGAAAUACCUUCUGCUUUAAUCUUUACAGAAAAAAAAAACUGUAGUCUCCUGUCACCAGGCAAAUCUCCCCGCCCCGUAGUGCUGUUUCCUUGACCCUCUCUCAAACCCAGAUUCGCCCCUGUCCAACAGGAGCUGCCAUUCUCCUCUGCAGAAUGAAGACUUCCAGCAUUCGAAGGGCAAGGUAACUAAACUUUGGUCACCAGAGAAGUGCUGACUUAAAUCUGCAAAACAAACUUCACUGUUGCUCACCUGCUUUUCCUGGCUCUCUCAAAGACGGUAUAUUAAACAACCUGAACUCUA